This is a long non-coding RNA of Gadus morhua (Atlantic cod), 1265 nucleotides long. RefSeq lists it as uncharacterized. NCBI's taxonomy places the organism in Eukaryota, Metazoa, Chordata, Actinopteri, Gadiformes, Gadidae. The record is from RefSeq and is a predicted model, not a curated record. The transcript is spliced from 2 exons.
CUUAGUCUUCUUUCACUCUCUCAGAUUGCAGAUGUCAUAUUUUACGAGCAAUUCAAGAUCACUUAUAAACAUUUGUAGUAUUACUUAUGGACAUGCACCAUUUGCAUUUAUACACUUUAAUAUGUGAAGUACUGGUACUUACCCACUUUAUAAUUUACUAAUUACACUUGACACUUUAUAAUUUAUUAAUUAUAUUGUUUAUAACGUUUGUUCUUUUUUUCUUUACUUCAGCAUUUACUUUAGCGUCUAUUUUUGUUCUCAUUAGUACUUUGUAUUUUUAUUGUAUUGUACCUUAUCCUGUGUUUUCCACUGCUGCUGGCCUGUUGAAACAAAGGAAUUUCCCCUCCGGGGGAUUAAUAAAGUUGUUAUCUUGUUUUAAUAAAGUUAAUGAAGAGUAUGCCUCCAACACCCCCCUAUUCUCUGAUCUCCAGACCCCCAGGUGGGCUGUGUGUUUGGGGGGAGCUGUGUGCUGCCUUGCCGCUUCCAUCCAAACAGUGAUACCAUCCUCCACUGGAACAAGGUGAAUGGGAAGGAUGUUCAGGUCCACUCCUACUAUGAUGACCAGGACCAACUGGGACACCAGGACCCUCUCUACAAGGGAAGGACCUCGCUGUUCCAUGACCAGAUGUCAGGGGGCAACGCAUCCCUUGGUCUGGCCAGGGUGAACCUCCAGGACCAGGGCAGGUACCUGUGUUACGCCAGCACUUCACAGAACAACCAGGAGACCUUCGUCACUCUGACAGUGAGAGAGGGAUCAUAUAGCACACCUUGGUUACAAUUAGGAUUCUAUUUUUAUGUUACACUUUUAAUCAUCAUCAGCAUCAGCCUCAUCUGUUUACGUUUAAAGAGAAGUGUUUCUUUUGAAUUUUUUGUAUCAUUUUCUAUAAUAUUUUCUCUUGUAAAUUACUUCACAUUAUAUUUUAUUUCGUUCUUUGUGUCAUUUUCUCUUUUAUUUUAAAUUAAUUAGUUGAAAACGUUUGUGUGGUUAUUUCUGGGUCAUUUAUUAGGGAUGUGAUGGGUAGUUUUAUCUGUAUUAUAAUGUAAUAAUCAACCACAUUUAUAUAUUUUAGUUUACUAUAUACUGUAUAUUCAUGUUAAUGAUGUAUUUUGGUUUGUCUUUGUCUUCACUGCCUCACUGUGGGAGGUCUAAAAUGAGCGUGCUUCACCUCAAACACACGAUGCCUCUGGUGCUGCACAGAUGUGUUAUGUUGUACCCAUUAAGUUAAUGGUGACCAUAUCAAAUUAAAUAAAUGAAUAUAUUUUAA